GGAAUUUUCCGCAAUGGGCGAAAGCCUGACGGAGCAAUACCGCGUGAGGGAAGACUGCCUAUGGGUUGUAAACCUCUUUUUUCAGGGAGGAAUAAAAUGACGUGUACCUGAAGAAUAAGCAUCGGCUAACUCCGUGCCAGCAGCCGCGGUAAGACGGAGGAUGCAAGUGUUAUCCGGAAUCGCUGGGCGUAAAGCGUCUGUAGGUGGUUUAAUAAGUCAACUGUUAAAUCUUGAGGCUCAACUUCAAAAUCGCAGUCGAAACUAUUAGACUAGAGUAUAGUAGAGGUAAAGGGAAUUUCCAGUGGAGCGGUGAAAUGCGUAGAUAUUGGAAAGAACACCGAUGGCGAAAGCACUUUACUGGGCUAUUACUAACACUCGGAGACGAAAGCUAGGGUAGCAAAUGGGAUUAGAUACCCCAGUAGUC
This 424-nucleotide ribosomal RNA is filed under the name uncultured eukaryotic phytoplankton. RNAcentral describes it as "bacterial SSU rRNA". It matches the Rfam family "Bacterial small subunit ribosomal RNA", at positions 358 to 795 of the family's 1533-position model. The record is from RNAcentral.